UUCUGCUUAACUACAAGGUUAAUACGUCUAUCAAAUCCAUUGUCACCACUGCCCCUUAAUGCAAAGCAAAUUUUAAUGCUGUUACUGAAAUGUCAGGGCUAAAAUGAAAUUUAAUAGGUGAGCCGAACUUCUCUAUUAUUCAAAAUUUAAAUGUGAAGUUCGAAGGGGAAAGUUUUACUUUAACCCUGACUAGUCAUCAUUGCUUUCAUUCAAGCAGAUAACCAGCUGUCACAGAGAAACAUGCAGAACAGUUGCAGGAUUCUGAUAUUUUAGAAUUCUGAAUUUUUAUGAUAACUGUCUUAUCAUGGAGUAGUAGUAGUAGUCUGAUACUUUUUAUUUUGUUUGGAUUUUAAUGUGUAUGAUUUAUAGAAUAUACUCAUGGAAAUAAGGUAUAUAGAAAAGAACUUAUGUGAUUUAUAACAUUUCAAUGAAAAUACUUGCUUUCAGAAGUUUUAUCAGUUUUGUGUGAGUGUGUGUGUGUAUGUGUGUGUGUACAGUCUAUUUGUGGGUAUGUAUGUGUGUUAUACCUGCUUUUUGUUUGUUUUUUAUAAACUAUUGCAUGAGCAAGAUGUUCCCACUUUGAAACCUUAUGCAUUCUUGGAACUCUUAAGACUAUAUUUCCAGUUCUUCAAAGGAGUUCAUCUGAGAAGUAGCACUCUAAACCAAACCGUUUGGUCUCUUUCAAGACAGAAAACCCACGUUUGCCACAAACAAAUCUUCCCUUAAGCGCACUGAGUACCAAUCUGGAAAAUGAUGAACUGAUUUCACUACAAGGUUUGAUAGACUAUAUUCCUUUAAAAAAUUUCUAGUCACUUCUUGCACUCAAAUGCAAGGUUUGUGUCAAAUGUUUCUUCAAAGUGUCAGGGUAGAAGGAUCAAACUUCUCCAUUUCAAUCAAACAAACAGAGGCAUCAGAAACAUUUUUUCCUGAGUGGUGAUUUCUAAAAUAAAUUAUUAUAUAAUAUGCUUCUUAGAAAGUUUUUUUUUUUUUUCAGCUUUAAAAGGGAAUUUAAUGAGGUAUGCUUCCAUGUCCCUGGAAAAGUGUAUGUAAUGUGCCUGUUGCACGCAUGUAUCUUUCAGGAAUCUGGCACCUAAGUGUUUUGUCUUUCUCUUAGUAGAUUGUCAGAUGGCAUAGAUGUCACUAUACUUAAGAGUUUAAAGAAGGACUAGCCAUUGUGGUUAGUACGUCUCUUUAUUUACUAAGUGGAACAAAACCACUUGAAGUUUCAUUAUCCACCUUAUUUCUUUGUAUAAAGUUUUCUGUGUUUAUACAUUCAUCAUGCUCUCCAACUUUUUUUUUUAAAGUAGUGUUUAAACAGAAUAAUUUUUUUUUCUCAUUUUGAUCAAGUCAUCAGCCAAUGUGAAUGUAAAUUGAUUUCUCUAAACUUUCUUAAAGUCAUUUUAUUUAUUCAAUUUUUAAGACUCCACUUCAGGGACUAUUUAUAGUCUAGAUGACAUUUAUCAGCACAAAAUUUUGUUUUACCCUCAAUUCAAUGAAUUUUAUAUUUCUGCCAUGUAAAAUUUCAAAUGAACUGCUCACAUAAUGUUUUUUCUUGAACUUUUGGGGGGUCAUUUGUUUAACUAAAUGCUUAUUUUUGUUGCUGAUUAUUUACUGAUUUUUUUCCCAUUAUUUCACAACAUCAUGCUUUGAGGCCUAGUUAUCUGUUUACCUGAAAUUUUCUCUUUUUCCCCUAAUAAUUUCCCUUCUAAUGUAUGAAUACAAAUUGCUCUGACAAUUACACUGAUCUUAACAUUUCCUUAAGUCUCUUAGUAUUUAAAUGUUGACUUUCUCCCCCUCUCCUUAGAGAGAUAAGUCAAUUGCAAACAGUUCAAGCUAAGAUUAGGUCUGCCAAUAUUUUUCAGAGGUGUAUGAGAUUUACCUACUGAUUUGGCCCUGCCCACAUGAGAACAAUCCAUAUUUACAGAGGUGCUCUCACUUUCAUCUCUUUUACACACAUCUCCUACCACCGCUUCUAUGAAACAUAUAAAUAAGUUUAUCUUAUGUCUUUAAUACAGUAGAUUUACUUUCAUCGUGUGCUUGGAUUCAUUAGACUACAUGGCUUAAGUCUAAACUUUAAUGACUCUGAUAUUCUGCCUUUUAUCUUCAAUGAUGUCCUUGAAAUUUUCUUUUAAAGGUAAUAUUAGAAACCUUCAUUUUAAACUCUCAUGCUUUCCCUGGCAUUACUGUAUACUGUUCUGCCUUAUGCAUUUAAUAUUCUCUUUUAAAAUUACAUACAUGUAUAUUUACUUUUAUUCCUGCAUUUGAAGUACUUCCUUGCCAAAUAAAGCAUGUAGAACCUGCCAUUACUAAUAUAAGUGAAGAAACCAGCAAAAAAAUAGUUCUUUAUGUAUAUAUACACACACACAAUCAUAUGUGUUAUGCAUGUGCAUAAAUAAUGUGUGUGUACAUCUCCACACUCAGUUACCCCAAGGAUUAAAGUGAUAAAAAAAAUUUUACCUUAGCGUUUAACAAUGGUAAACAAUGUUUUGAGAAACUUUACAGUGUAGGUGUGCAAUGUAUGUGCUAUAGGUCUUUAGAAUGAAUUUUGUUUUAUUUAAUCUCAAAAUAAUUCUCUUACUUGCCACUUACAGAAUGUAUUCAUUGUUCAUCCCCUGUUUGUUGUAUUUAGAUAUUUUCUUAUCUAAUAUCAGGUUAUUUAAAGUUGUUUAUUCAAUUUUCCCAAAUGUCUUGAAAAGAAUAUGUAAAGUAAGUAUUGAUCAAGACCUCAUAUAUGUGUACAUAUAUAUACUUUUUUCUUCUUCAGAAAAAAGUACAAGCUCUUCAUUCAGUCUUUCUGGGUUUUAAUCCUUGUUUUGGCACAUAUUAGCUGUGUGACCUCAACUAGUAGUCUAAAGAACAUAGUAAGUUGGUAUAAUAGGUAAGCAAAAUAAUAUGUGAAAUAUAUUUCUACAACUGGCAGAUAGUAAGCCCCAGAUACAUGUUAACUCUGUUAUUAUCCUCAUAGUUUAUAAGUCUUCGCUUAUCCAUACAACCUAGAACUAUAAUGUAUAUGAUACUAAAAUUCUACUUUUCAUUUGCUGUACUCUAAAAAAAAGAAAUGAAUCACUUAAAAUAUUUUAUCUAUUACAUAGAAUCUGCAUACAGUUUACAUUUAAAAUUUAAAUCUACCAUAUGAUUUGAUCUUCAGGUUGAGACUCUUAUCUCUUUGACCAGAAAGGAAAUCAGGAACAUGGUGACUAUCUGCUUGCUCCCAAUUCACAAAACCUUCCAUCACUAACAAAACUGUUAACUUGGGCCAUGUGACUCCUCUUCUAGAAAUUUUAGUAUUGGCUUCUCAAAUAUGUUGCAAUAUUUAUAAUUACUCAACUUACUUUAUUCUUCCUCUUUUACUCCACAAAAAUACUGUUCUAAGGAUCUUUUUUUUGUUGUUGUUAUCUUUGGGCCGCAUCCAUGGCAUAUGGAAGUUUCCAGACUAGGGGUUGAAUCAGAGCUAUAGCCUCAGGUCUAUGCCACAGCCACAGCAACCCCAGAUCUGAGCUGCAUCUGUGACAUACAACAGCUCACAGCAAUACUGGAUCUUUUAGCCCACUGAGUGAGGCCAGUGAUCAAACAUGCGUUGUCAUCAUGGAUACUAGUCAGGUUUGUACAUCAGCAUAUAAACAAAUCUAUGAGUACAUGAAUUUUUAGCAUUGUUUUUAUAAGAUCAGAGGAUCAGAAAAAACAGAAGUUCUGUUAAAUCUAAGACUGGUCAUUUAAAAGACAAUACUACAUUUAUUAUGGAAUUAUUUUAUUAAAGAAAAAAGAGAACAUUAACACUUUCCAUGACAUGAGAAUAUCUUCAAGGCACCUAAUAUCGAAGAGGCAUGUUGAAGAUUGAUUCAAUAUAUGCAUUAGUCACUGUGCAUAUAUAUGUUAUAUAUGUGUGUGUGUCUAUAACUUUAAAUUUUAUAUGUAUAUAUGGGUUUACUGGGGAAUGGGAAUAUACUUAACAUUAGUCAUUUCUAAGGAAUAGAAUUGGUGGUCUUAUUUUAUGCCUUUCCGUAAAUUUCUUUUUUUUUUAAUUUUUUUAACUCAGUGAAUUUUAUUACAUUUAUAGUUGUACAAUGAUCAUCACAACCCAGUUUUAUAGCAUUUCCAUCCCAAACCCCCAGCCCAUCCCUCCACACUGCAACCUGUCUCCUUUUGAAGCCAUAAGUUUUUCAAAGUCUGCGAGUCAGUGUCUGCUCUGCAAAGUUCAUUGUGUCCUUUUUGUUUUUUUAGUUUCCACAUGCAAGUGAUGUUGGUGUCUCACUGUUUAACUUCACUUUGCAUGACAAUUUCUAGGUCCAUCCAUCUUGCUCCAAAUUCCAUUAUUUAUUUGCUUUUAAUGGUUGAGUAAUAUUCCAUUGUGUAUAUGUAUGCCUUUCUGUAAUUUUCAAUAUUAUCAUCCAUAUUAUUCUAAUAAAUUCCCUGAAAUAAAAAUUUGUUUAGGAGCCAAUAUCACCAUAACACUUAUUUAUUAUACAAACACUAUAUGUCAGUUUCUGUACUAAGUCCUUCAUAUUAUCAUUCUUGAUCUUUGUAACAGUUCUGAGAAGGAGCUAUUUCCACUAAGACUAAGAGAGGUAAGGUAGUCAAUAAUAUGUCAUACACUGAGGGAAGGGUUGGAUUCCUAAUUCCUAUUUAGGCCCAUUCCCUUCCACAGUGGAUUCUCUUCAUUUCAAAGCAUUGUAUAUCUGUGGUAUGAACAAACAGUAUAAUAACUUCUCCUUACUGGUCAAUCUUGCACCUUUCAAAAUAUUAUUGUGGUUACAAUAGUCAUGAGUGAGCACACUCAUUCAGCUGAUUACCAGCUAUGUGUCUGCUCUGUGCUCUGGGGAUUCAGCAAUGAACUAAACAGAUAAGGGUCUCCCUUCCUAUUAAGUCAACAUUCUAGCAAAUGCAGAGACAGGACAAAAAAAAAAAAAAAAAAGUCAAAUGCAUUUCUGAUGGUGCCAUGUAAUCUCAGUAACCAAAGCAGAAAAGGGGGAAAAGGGUAGGGGCCUCAUGGGAAGAGACACACUUUGAUGUCUUGUAAUCAGAUCUCUGCCACAUGUGGCACACAGCUCACCACACUUAGCUAUCAAGAUUAUCUUAUUUAGGUUUCUCCAUGUUUUUGAUUAAGAAAAUAAGUAGUUAUUUAACUCCUAAUCCCCACUCAAUGUAGUUAGGUCCUGCUCACAUCAAGAUUCACUUGGAUUCUGUUGGAUUCCAAACCCUAUAUGGUCUUUUAGAGAAAAAAGAGCUGGGCCUAGUUGACGUUAGUAUAUUAACAGUUAUAUCUUUCAUUCUACUAAAAUCUGUUUAGUACUAUAGCACAUUUUCAUAAGGCAAGAUAUACCCUCCUCUAAAACAUAUCCCUUCAAAAUACUGCACAUAACAUAAUCUUUUUAAAAUGAAAACCCCAACAUUCAUUACUCAGAAAUGGGUACAGCAUUUUUCUGUCUUAUUCUUCCAGGAGAAUGUUUUGAGCAAAAUAUAAAUAUGUGGUUGCAGAUUUUAUUUAGCUGUGUGUUUUCUGGGUCUCGUGAGCUAAGCUACUCAGGAACUGUUGUCUAUAGGAAUGAAUAUUUAACAGCUACCUCUGGGAAUGUUCAUUUGAUUCCUUGGGCUGCUCAUGGGAGGGUGUGGCACUGUCCUCUCCAGACAGAGGAUUUAGAUGACAUUAGGCCACUGAUUAAUAAUGAUCCAAGUAAGUUCAGUGUCAACUUAGGUAUCUAUUUUGCAUGUAUUUUUUUCUGAAACAUCCUUCUUUAACAGUGUACAUAUUUUCAUUAUAACUUAAGUAUCCUUUUAAAAUAUUUAAGAUAUGUGGUUUAAAAUAGGUCCUCUCUGAACUCCUGUGUUGGUGAGCUAUUUCUGAAUUGUCACAUUGGAGGGUGUGUAUUUUGGUGUACAUAUGUGAGAAUUAAAGGCUGAGAAGAAAAUAUAUCAAAGCAUCUUAACUACAAUACAAGAGAUAUCCUUAAUCAAAAUAUUGAUUGAAUUAGCUUUUAUACUACCUUACUAAUGGAACAAAGAUAAAUGGUUUACAACUAUAAGGAAAUCAUCCUUUAAAAUUAACUGAAAUCUUUGUAAAUUCUUCUUAAUUGAAAAGCGUAAAUCAGGAGUUCCAGUCGUGGCUCAGCGGAAAUAAAUCUGACUGGCAUUCAUGAGGAUGUAGGUUCGAUCUCUGGCCUUGCUUAGUGGGUUGAGGAUCUGGUGUUGCUGUGGUUGUGGUAUAGGCUGGCAGCCGUAGCUCUGAUUCAACCCCUAGCCUGGGAUCCCCAUAUGCCGUGGGUAUGGC
This 6265-nucleotide long non-coding RNA is filed under the name Sus scrofa (pig). Its description in RNAcentral is "lncRNA (ENSSSCG00005042136.1)". Lineage: Eukaryota; Metazoa; Chordata; Mammalia; Artiodactyla; Suidae. The record is from RNAcentral.